This 490-nucleotide ribosomal RNA is filed under the name uncultured bacterium. Its description in RNAcentral is "bacterial SSU rRNA". It matches the Rfam family "Bacterial small subunit ribosomal RNA", at positions 9 to 526 of the family's 1533-position model. The record is from RNAcentral.
GAGUUUGAUCCUGGCUCAGGAUGAACGCUGGCGGCGUGCCUAACACAUGCAAGUCGAGCGAUUUACUUCGGUAAAGAGCGGCGGACGGGUGAGUAACGCGUGGGUAACCUGCCUCAUACACAUGGAUAACAUACCGAAAGGUAUGCUAAUACAGGAUAAUAUAAGAGAUUCACAUGGAUUUCUUAUCAAAGCUCCGGCGGUAUGAGAUGGACCCGCGUCUGAUUAGCUAGUUGGUAAGGUAAUGGCUUACCAAGGCGACGAUCAGUAGCCGACCUGAGAGGGUGAUCGGCCACAUUGGAACUGAGACACGGUCCAAACUCCUACGGGAGGCAGCAGUGGGGAAUAUUGCACAAUGGGCGAAAGCCUGAUGCAGCAACGCCGCGUGAGUGAUGAAGGCCUUCGGGUCGUAAAACUCUGUCCUCAAGGAAGAUAAUGACGGUACUUGAGGAGGAGGCCCCGGCUAACUACGUGCCAGCAGCCGCGGUAAUAC